Molecule: ribosomal RNA, 292 nt
Filed under: uncultured bacterium
Lineage: Bacteria
Description: partial 16S ribosomal RNA
Rfam family: Bacterial small subunit ribosomal RNA
Source: RNAcentral
GUGCUUAACACAUGCAAGUCGAGUGCGCGCCUGUAGCAAUACAGGUGGCGCACGGCGCACGGGUGCGUAACACGUGGGUAAUCUGCCCUCUGAUGGGGAAUAACUCGCCGAAAGGCGAGCUAAUUCCGCAUAAUAUUCCGAGAACCUCGGUUUUUGGACUGAAAGGCGUAAGUCGUCGGAGGAGGAGCCCGCGCACGAUUAGCUAGUUGGUAGGGUAAUGGCCUACCAAGGCUUUGAUCGUUAGCUGGUCUGAGAGGAUGGCCAGCCACACUGGAACUGAGACACGGUCCAG